Molecule: non-coding RNA, 520 nt
Organism: Pelobates cultripes (western spadefoot toad)
Lineage: Eukaryota; Metazoa; Chordata; Amphibia; Anura; Pelobatidae
Source: the annotation of a GenBank genome assembly
CACAGAUCACAACCCGUUGGUGUGGCUGAACCGUGUGGCUGGAGACAAUGCCAGGCUGCUGCGCUGGAGUUUAGCGCUGCAGCCUUUUGACUUUACUAUCCAUUAUCGCCCAGGGAAACAAAACGGUAACGCCGACGGGUUAUCUAGACAAACAGACCUUGAGAAGUGAUCUGUGAGCCCUCCUCCGGACAUCCCCAAGCCGAUCCGUUGGGAUCAGACUGUGUAUGCCGGCUUGGUUCUGGGGGAGCAUUGUGGCAAACCUAGCCACUUGGACUAUAUCAAGAGACUGUACCUUUAAGGGUUGCCUGUAUGUCGGUGGGGAUAUGUGUUCAACUAUGUACAAUGUAUGCUGGCUGUAAUACCUUGAAUUGCCUGUGUUUGCUAUCCGCCAAAUGCAGAUAGCUAUUUGUAUUGGGUUUUCCUUUCGUUUCACGAACGGCACUUUGGCGGGCCGUUCGUGAACCGAAAACACUACAUAUAAUAGCCCACACACUUAGAGGCGUGUGGCGCUUGUUAACCG